Molecule: long non-coding RNA, 313 nt
Filed under: Elaeis guineensis (African oil palm)
Lineage: Eukaryota; Viridiplantae; Streptophyta; Magnoliopsida; Arecales; Arecaceae
Description: long non-coding RNA (EGUI_LNC069067)
Source: RNAcentral
CAGGCUGUUCUUCCCUCCUUGGUGGCUCUGGUUGCGGUAGUGCCCUUAGCCGAUCUUCCUUACCUUCAGGCUAGUGUCAGAUGAAUCUAUUGAGCCAACCUCAUCUAAUGAGCUCCUCGAUCUGGUCUCAGAGUUGAAUACACCCCUCUGUGUUGUGGCUGUGGUCACGAUGAUAGAGGCAGAACUUGUUAAGGUUGUGCUUCCCAAGGUGUGUGCGCAUCCUUUCCGACCUUGGCAGCUACUCCCUGAUCUCCAUCAGCACUUGAGUUUUUGGAGCAUUGAGAGGGGCGUAGCUGUGGAAUCUUUCUGGGGG